RNAcentral lists this unclassified non-coding RNA (312 nucleotides) under uncultured bacterium. RNAcentral's name for it is "partial contains 16S ribosomal RNA and 16S-23S ribosomal RNA intergenic spacer region". The record is from RNAcentral.
GGCUCAGAACGAACACUGGCGGCAGUGGGACUCCUACCGGAGGCAGCAGUGGGACUCCUACGGGAGGCAGCAGUGGGGCAGUUGGCUCACAACGAACGCUGGCGGCUGGCUCAGAACAAACGCUGGCGGCUGGCUCAGAACGAACGCUGGCGGCUGGCUCAGAACGAACGCUGGCGGCAGUGGGACUCCUACGGGAGGCAGCAGUGGGACUCCUACGGGAGGCAGCAGUGGGGCAGUUGGCUCACAACGAACGCUGGCGGCUGGCUCAGAACGAACGCUGGCAGCCCCACUCCUACGGGAGGCAGCAGUGGG